GAUGAACGCUAGCGGCAGGCUUAACACAUGCAAGUCGAGGGGUAUAGUUCUUCGGAAUUAGAGACCGGCGCACGGGUGCGUAACGCGUAUGCAAUCUACCUUUCACAGAGGGAUAGCCCCAGAGAAAUUUGGAUUAAUACCUCAUAGUAUAGCAGUUUCGCAUGAAACCACUAUUAAAGUCACAACGGUGAAAGAUGAGCAUGCGUCCCAUUAGCUAGUUGGUAAGGUAACGGCUUACCAAGGCAACGAUGGGUAGGGGUCCUGAGAGGGAGAUCCCCCACACUGGUACUGAGACACGGACCAGACUCCUACGGGAGGCAGCAGUGAGGAAUAUUGGGACAAUGGGCGCAAGCCUGAUCCAGCCAUGCCGCGUGCAGGAUGACGGUCCUAUGGAUUGUAAACUGCUUUUAUACAGGAAGAAACACUACUUCGUGAAGUAGCUUGACGGUACUGUAAGAAUAAGGAUGGCUAACUCCGUGCCAGCAGCCG
This 489-nucleotide ribosomal RNA is filed under the name uncultured bacterium. RNAcentral describes it as "bacterial SSU rRNA". It matches the Rfam family "Bacterial small subunit ribosomal RNA", at positions 28 to 517 of the family's 1533-position model. The record is from RNAcentral.